GGCGGCGUGCUAACACAUGCAAGUCGAACGAGAACGGAUAUUAGUUUACUAAUAUUGUCAGCUAAGUGGCGCACGGGUGAGUAAUAUAUAGUUAACCUGCCUCAAAGAAGGGAAUAAUUGUUGGAAACGACUUGUAAUGCCCUAUAUGCCUUUAUGACAAAAGUCAGCAAGGGAAAUAUUUAUAGCUUUGAGAUGGGGCUGUACGGUAUCAGAUAGUUGGUGAGGUAAUGGCUUACCAAGUCUAUGACGCCUAACUGGUUUGAGAGGAUGAUCAGUCACACUGGAACUGAGACACGGUCCAGACUCCUACGGGAGGCAGCAGUGGGGAAUAUUGCACAAUGGAGGGAACUCUGAUGCAGCAACGCCGCGUGGAGGAUGACACAUUUCGGUGCGUAAACUCCUUUUAUAUAAGAAGAUAAUGACGGUAUUAUAUGAAUAAGCACCGGCUAACUCCGUGCCAGCAGCCGCGGUAAUACGGGGGGUGCAAGCGUUACUCGGAAUCACUGGGCGUAAAGAGCAUGUAGGCUGGUAGAAAAGUUGGAAGUGAAAUCCUAUGGCUUAACCAUAGAACUGCUUCCAAAACUCUCUACCUAGAAUAUGGGAGAGGUAGAUGGAAUUUCUGGUGUAGGGGUAAAAUCCGUAGAGAUCAGAAGGAAUACCGAUUGCGAAGGCGAUCUACUGGAACAUUAUUGACGCUCAGAUGCGAAAGCGUGGGGAGCAAACAGGAUUAGAUACCCUGGUAGUCCACGCCCUAAACGAUGCACACUAGUUGUUGCCAUACUAGAUAUGGCAGUAAUGCAGUUAACACAUUAAGUGUGCCGCCUGGGGAGUACGGUCGCAAGAUUAAAACUCAAAGGAAUAGACGGGGACCCGCACAAGCGGUGGAGCAUGUGGUUUUAAU
This 901-nucleotide ribosomal RNA is filed under the name uncultured Campylobacteraceae bacterium. Its description in RNAcentral is "bacterial SSU rRNA". It matches the Rfam family "Bacterial small subunit ribosomal RNA", at positions 38 to 951 of the family's 1533-position model. The record is from RNAcentral. Lineage: Bacteria; Pseudomonadati; Campylobacterota; Epsilonproteobacteria; Campylobacterales; Campylobacteraceae.